ACGACAAUAUAAAUCAGUCUCAUAUUAGAUACUAAUUAGCGACUAUCGUAUUUUGGUUCAUAUUUAGUCGCCAAAACGUAGCUAAACGGUCACUAGCUGUAGCGACUGCAAAAUUAGUCGCCGAAUUAAGUCGCUAAUCCCAUGUUUUCUUGUAGAAGCUUGUUUGCAGAAGCUAUGGUUCGUGAAGUUGACGACACUUUUGGCUCGGGGAUAGACAAAUUGAAAGAGACAAUCGCGAACCAAAAUGAAAAGAUCGAUACACGAAUUAUUGCUUUGCUCUCGUUGUUGCGAUCAUGGAGCACGGAGGAGGAGAAUCCGCAAAUAGAUGCUUUUCCAGCCUCGCCACAACUUCCAGACUCACCGAAUUUCAAUCGUCCAGAUCCGAAACCAAGCUAUGUUAUCAACGUUAAUCCAAAGAUUCCAAAAGCUUCAUCGUCGUCAACUCGCAGAUACAAGCCUCAUCAGAGAAUCUCGUUGGAAGAGAUUAACGAGAGAAGGUUGAAGGGGUUAUGUGUGUUUUGCGAACAGCCAGAAACUCCAGAUCAUCAUAUCAAACACAAGAAUACAGGGAUUCUCAUGAUUGAUGGUGAUGAAGAUCAAACCCCUAAUUGUGAAUUUGGUGAAUCAAUUGAGCAUUGUACGGUGAGUUUGUUGUCUACAGCUCAAGAUGAGAAGCCAAAUUUGGAGAAUCAUGAAAAUUUGGUACAUGAAACGAUCUUGGAGGGAGAAUCAAUUCCAAAAUUUCAGGUACCAAUUUCAGAUUCUAAGAGUUUGAGGAAUAUUGAACUUAGGGAAGAAAAUUCAAAGUUGGAAACUCUAGAGUAUGUAGUGAUGAAUGAGAAUGAGAAUCUAGAGCAAGAAAGAGUUCAAAAGAACGUUAAUAAGAGAUUUGAGGUUGAAGGUGAUGUUGAGAGGAGUCAAAAAUUGAUAAGCAACACCAAGAAUUGCUCUGCACACCAGCUGUUCGAUAAAAUGUCUCAAUAUAAAGAAAGACUAGGAAUUGAGAAGAAAAGGAAAGGGUUUAAAUCACGGAUGUUUAAGUAUAAGAGUGGCUUCAGGAAACUGCACGCACUAACUUUUUCCAAGAGUAUGAGAAUGAUUGAGACAUCUAGUGAUUUGUUGUUGUUGAAUGGGAAGGAUAGUCCAGCACGGACUGCAAUGGGAUUCAAAUUAGAAGCAGGUGAAAUAACAUCAUCGAAUCAAGAGAGACUUGAGUUGUGUACAGCGAACAACGGCUACUUGGAAUCAUCGAAUCUAGAGCUGGUUCUGAUGAAAGAAGAACUAGAAUCUGUGAAAGUAAAUGGAGUGAAGUUAUGGACACAGAGCUGCAAUUUGAAAUCUGAUUUGAUUCAAGCCAAGAUGAUUGUGAAAAAGACGAAUUCGCUACGUAACGAUGAGUCAGUCUGUGCUAUUGAGGAUUUCUCAUCGGCAGUUUUGGAAAACAAUCAAUCCCAACUAUAUUGUGAUGCCUUUAACUCUGGUGGCGUUUUCAGGUUCUGGAAAUUCACAUGUUCUGAUAUGAUUCCAUUGGGAGAAACAGUGCUGACAAAGGGACAAAAGAAAACGUUUUACAAGUUGAAGAGAUUCAAGUUCAAACAUAGAGUAGCAUCAAGAGAUUUCAAAUCUGGUUUGGAAGUCAGAGGAAAGCAAACUGCAAUGUGGCAACGGAAAGCAAAGAAAGAGUACCUGUGUUUGUUCUGGACCAACAAUGUGGCAGCAUGUGAUCAUAUUUUGUUCGUUGGUGAGAUGAAAAUCAAUGGCUACAAGCUGUGUCUUGUAAGAAAUAAGAAGCAGCAGAGAAAGCCACCCAAGUAUCCCACGACAUGGAAAUUAAGGUUCAAAAACAUGAAUUUGCAGAGAACUAUGAUACACUUGGAUACACAACUAUUAAUUUUCAGAUGGGACAGCAUGUAUAUUCGUCACUUUACGACAUUUGAGCAUCACUUGGAGGAUUCACAUCCACAAUCUGGUUUUGAUGUUAAAGGGGAUGUCAAGUACAAAUAUUCUCGUUCAAGUGCUAAAGUUGCAUUGAUGAAGAUGAAUAAGUUCUCCAAAACUUGGUUCAUGCUCAAAGGUGACUGUUUCAAGGAAGACAGUCACAUCCGAGUUUGGGAUCCUGGAGGUUCAAUUUUCAGGAAUUUCUCUUUUAAGCUGAAGUUGUGGUUCUUGUUAAGUGGUCACACCAACCAGAGGAAGAAGCUACAUGGGAGUUUUUAUAUGAUCUUCUCAGGAAAUUUCCAACCUUUGAACCUUGUGGUCAAGGUUCUUCAGACCAGGGAGCUUUGAUAUAGUAAAUUGAGAGUUGGGAGAAGAUGACGUGGCUGUGGUAAAAUGAGUAGUCAUCUCAGUAACGUGGAGCUUUCUAAUUGGAUCAAGAUGGUGGCUUAUGAUUGGAAGAUCAAAAUAGUUUGUUACAAGGAAGGAACGAGGAAGCUGGAGGCUAUAAGAAGACAAAUACUUUUACACUUUUGAUUAUCAAAAAUCUUGUGAACAUUUUUCAUUUUCAAUUUCUCUUGUGCUCGCUGAUUCUUGGAGCUUGUUGCUUCCAUCGAUCGGUGAGUUUCAGAUUCUCGUUUUAUGAACGUCAGUCUGUAGUUUCUGGGUUGAUUUCUAAUAAAACUCUGAAUUUCUACAACAGAGAAACAUCCAAGCAGAUAGAGAACAUAUAUAGGAUAUAUAAGAUAUAUAAUGUUUAGCUAAAAAACUCUGAAAGGGUUCAAAAAAAGACACAUGUUACGAUUCAUGAUUUGCCCCUGAAUUUAAAAACGUAUUUAAUGUGUUUUGAGUAUAUCCUAGGGUUUAGUUCAAAAAAAAAAAAAAAAAAAAGUAUAUCCUAGGGUUUAUAGUAGCCAAAAAAAGCAAAUAAAUAAAUUCAUGAUAAAAUAGAAAAUAUAGUUAGAUAAUAGAAUAAAUUUUCGCAAGAUGAAACAAACCUUAAUAUCUUUUGGAGAUUUUAUUAAUUAAAUAUUUUGUUUUUAUUUCAUGCACCAAUUCACGAUGUUUCCAUAAACACCAACCUGCAAAUUCAUACACAAACACCAUUAAAGAUGAGGAUCGAUCCACUAACAUAACUAAAAAGACAUGAACUUAAAAGACUAUUUUACCUUUUUGUUUUGGUAUUUUUCUUACUCUUCAUCAUCUUUUUCAAUACUUUCGGUGAAGAUUAACCUACAAAAAU
This 3178-nucleotide long non-coding RNA is filed under the name Arabidopsis lyrata. Its description in RNAcentral is "long non-coding RNA (ALYR_LNC000055)". Lineage: Eukaryota; Viridiplantae; Streptophyta; Magnoliopsida; Brassicales; Brassicaceae. The record is from RNAcentral.